This 381-nucleotide ribosomal RNA is filed under the name uncultured marine Chaetocerotaceae. Its description in RNAcentral is "SSU rRNA". It matches the Rfam family "Eukaryotic small subunit ribosomal RNA", at positions 587 to 972 of the family's 1831-position model. Lineage: Eukaryota; Bacillariophyta; Thalassiosirophyceae; Chaetocerotales; Chaetocerotaceae. The record is from RNAcentral.
AGCUCCAAUAGCGUAUAUUAAAGUUGCUGCAGUUAAAAAGCUCGUAGUUGCAUUUCCGAGGCAAGGGAUUAGUCCGACCUUUGGUGGGUAUUUAAUCCUCUUGCCUCGUCCUUGAGUGGUGCUUCUUGGUAUUAAGUUAUCGAGGAGAUAGCCGCUCAUCGUUUACUGUGAGAAAAUUAGAGUGUUCAAAGCAGGCUUAUGCCGUUGAAUAUAUUAGCAUGGAAUAAUAAGAUAGGAACUCGGUACUAUUUUGGUGGUUUGAGAACCAAGGUAAUGAUGAAUAGGGACAGUUGGGGGUAUUCGUAUUCAGUUGUCAGAGGUGAAAUUCUUAGAUUUACGGAAGACGAACUACUGCGAAAGCAUUUACCAAGGAUGUUUUCA